GGGGUUGUGGCUCAGUGGUAGAGCAUUCUCCCAGCACAUGCAAGGCCCUGGGUUCAAUCUUCAGCACCACA
RNAcentral lists this transfer RNA (71 nucleotides) under Marmota monax (woodchuck). Its description in RNAcentral is "tRNA.Ala". Lineage: Eukaryota; Metazoa; Chordata; Mammalia; Rodentia; Sciuridae. The record is from RNAcentral.